CAAAUCAGUGAUGUGUGUGUGAUGGUAGUGGUGGUGGUGGGAAAUCUGCUGCCAGCCUCGACCGUUACAACAACACAACAACAUUAGCACAGACACACUUCCUCGGGAGUCGUGUCUGAUGUUUACGCUUGCUUGUUUGACAAAUCAAUGUUUUCACAUGUAUUACA
Molecule: unclassified non-coding RNA, 167 nt
Filed under: uncultured fungus
Lineage: Eukaryota; Fungi
Description: sequence contains ITS1, 5.8S rRNA gene
Source: RNAcentral